CCUACGGGCGGCAGCAGUGGGGAAUAUUGGACAAUGGGCGAAAGCCUGAUCCAGCCAUGCCGCGUGUGUGAAGAAGGCCUUCGGGUUGUAAAGCACUUUCAGUGGGGAAGAAAGCCUUGGGGCUAAUACCCUCGAGGAAGGACAUCACCCACAGAAGAAGCACCGGCUAACUCCGUGCCAGCAGCCGCGGUAAUACGGGGGUGCGAGCGUUAAUCGGAAUUACUGGGCGUAAAGCGCGCGUAGGCGGUCUGAUAAGCCGGUUGUGAAAGCCCCGGGCUCAACCUGGGAACGGCAUCCGGAACUGUCAGGCUAGAGUGCAGGAGAGGAAGGUAGAAUUCCCGGUGUAGCGGUGAAAUGCGUAGAGAUCGGGAGGAAUACCAGUGGCGAAGGCGGCCUUCUGGACUGACACUGACGCUGAGGUGCGAAAGCGUGGGUAGCAAACAGGAUUAGAUACCCGGGUAGUC
This 464-nucleotide ribosomal RNA is filed under the name Vreelandella stevensii. RNAcentral describes it as "partial 16S ribosomal RNA". It matches the Rfam family "Bacterial small subunit ribosomal RNA", at positions 338 to 795 of the family's 1533-position model. The record is from RNAcentral. Lineage: Bacteria; Pseudomonadati; Pseudomonadota; Gammaproteobacteria; Oceanospirillales; Halomonadaceae.